GUGUGGGUACCUUUUCAGUCCAGGGGGGUGAAAUCUUUCUAUUACAAGAGAUCUCUAAAAACACUGCACCUCACUUACCUUGGUAUGCUGCAUAUGUUAUACUACAUGAAAGAAAAAAACUGCAAACUGCUUUUAUUAUGACAUAUAAUGCUUGAGUAAUGCCUGAUUGCGAUAUUCUUAUACAGUAACUAUUUUAGAGUCGAAAUAAGUAUAACUGUACAAAAUAUUCUCUGUUUUUUGUCUUAACACUUAUCCGAUUUUGACGAAUUGUUCUUGAGCCGACUUUACUUUGUUGUCCUAUUUAAAUGUGUCGUUUCUUUUAAAUUUAUAUAUGAAAUAUAUAUGUGCGGAAUAUUUUAUGGUGUAUUUAUUGAGAGUGCGUUCAAGCGGCUGGAGUCUCCGCAUCAUAUUGCAGCAUGGUGGGGGUGGAGCCAGGAGUGAAACGAGGCCUUUAGCCCCUCCCCCUCCAUGUUGACGCCUUAUUCUCUUAGACACGCAAGCACAACAAUAUGGAGGGGGGUGCGAGGUGGAGGAAAAGGAGGAGGUCUAUUUUGCCUGGACAAACGGAGCCGUGUAUCAGGUUCUGGUUGACGUCUGAAGGUCAAAUCGUCCUCUUUCUUUUCUCAGUAUUUUUUUGCCCUCCACUUUUCUUUUUACAAACUUUAGAAGGCCAAAACGCUAACCCCCACAUGUUGCAGCUCAUCUCUGACGAAGGGAACCAUUUCUGAACCAUACUGACGUCAAAUAUUGUCGGAUAGUCAACUUUUUUUUUCUUUUUUUUUCAAUCAUCCCAAGCUGCUAAUUGGUACGUUAGCCAUGCGAACUCCCUGAGCCAGUAAAGAGCAGGUGGGAAAAGAAAAGAAGAAAACUUUUAAAAGCAGCAAGGGAAGAAAAGGUCGAUGUUGAAACGGCAGAAAUCUUUAAAUCCUGGUGAAAAUUUAAAGUGUUGAAUCUUCUUUCCUUUUGAAAUUCGUCAAGUUUUUUCUUGUGCCAGAACCUUUUUGUUAAAGAGCAGGAAACAGGUCUCAUUCCACAAAAAAAGAAGACACGCCUCAGCCUUAAGUGCGUUCUUACGUAGUCGUCAGAUUUCCAUGUGCUCACAAAACUCUACCGGCGUUUUCAUCUCUUUUCAUAUUUCAUGUAAACCACUAGUAUUGCUGCAGGAUUACAAUGUACGAACAGCUUUCAAAGAUUUACUCUGGCAUGUUUGUACUGAUGUCAGAACUGAAAACAAGUCUGGGUCAAACUGCGUUCAGAAAUCACUCUCGGCUUCAAAUCAGCAGAAAUUCAGAAAUGAGGAAGAGAUCAUCGUAAAAUAAAAAAAAUCUCAAUCAUGUAAAAAUUUGCUGAUGUCAAUCCAAAGACGAACCUUUCCAGACGCGGUUUGACUCAGACUUGACUGGAAUGUCCUCACAGAGCUGGAUUACAGAGACCUGUGCCUGUAUAAUGAACCAAGGUUGAGUUGUGUUUUGAUGAAUUGCUGUUUUUUGUUUUUUUCUUUAUAAACUGUUUUCAUGGGUUGUCCCUCACCCAGUCAGAGGAUCAGAGACAUGGAGCUUUUGAGUGUUGUCCAUCCUGUUCCAAAGUCGAACAAAAAGGCCCUCUGUCCUUGAAUCGAUGUUUACUGUAAUGUUUACUCCCAUGGCUAUCAGAUGUUUCACCUGUUUUCAUCCCAUUAUCAUUCCAAUAAUGACUUUGAACCAAAUAUUGCACAAGAGAUUAGGCUCCUGAUGCCGUGUUUCCCAUGUAGACACACACACACACACACAAUGGUGUUGGUGACAGAUAUUCGACAGUGGCCAAGGAUCGAACACAAUAUCUGCGUGAGCUGAUUGUCAUAUUCUUUUCCAUGUAGCAUCUCUCUCACUCUCGUGUCAGUUUGAUUUCAAAGUGAAGAUCUUGGGCUCUGAUACCUCUGAGUGAGGCACCAGCAAAUGGAUGUUUGUAACACGUUUGAACAGUGAACCUUCACCACCAGAUGAUCCAUGUCUCAGUCUCUCUGUGUGCUGCAAAGCCUCUGUUGUACCAACAGCUCUAUUCCUCUCGGUUUGAAUGUCUCUUUCUUUUGUAACUCUCUCUCUCUCUCUCUCUCAUAGGUUGUUGGCCUUUUAGUGUUGCUUUGCUUCAGUUUGAAGUGUAUCUUUGACUAAUACUUGCAAUAAAAUGCUUUGCUUUACCCGGGUUGUCUUUGAGUUUUAUAAAUUGAAUUAAUUUUGUUAAUGAAACACAAACUACAUGAAGAAAUCCCAGCAGCAAAAGUGACUCCACACAGGUGGUUUGUAGUCGGGGUGGGCUGAUAAUUGGACUUGGCUGAUCGCCGUUUAUUUUACAGAUGGCUAACAAAAUUCACUGAAAGCUGCAGUACUUUGGCUCGGCUGUCUGUGUGUCUUCCCCUCUGGGUCUGGUUUCUUUCCCUCACUGACCACCAGUGUUAAUUCUGGCUGCUGUUUUAGAUUUAGUCUCAGUUUUUUGAUUAAAAUGCAUUUUAGUUUUGAUCACAUUUUAGUUUUAGACUCAACACAAACUGGAAAAGUGUAGAAGAUGCAUGGAGGCAGAGAGGAUUACAGUCUUAAUGAUUUUAAAAGCAAACUGAAAACGUACAUUUUUAGUAUUUCUUGUAACUAAAUUUUAAAACAUUAACUUUAAGUCGUUAUUUUUUAAGUUUCAUUCUGUUUCUUUGUUUUUAGAUUUUAACAUAAACCUCCAGUGUUUCCUUAUCUUGAGUUUUAAAAUGACGUUUCCUCAGUGCGCACAUUUCUGUUUCCACGAAAUCAAGCCCUUUUUAAGUUUACACAUUUUAUUACUGUUUCUGUUGCAUUUAGAUUGUAGGGUGGGAAUAAAGGGGUUAUGUUGGGGUAGAUUCGGGUAUUCUUUAUUUCUUUUUAUUCCUUUUUCUGUGUAAAGCACUUUGUCCUACAUGGUUGUGUAUGAAAAGUGCUAUCAAGACUGAUUGAUUCAGUCAUUUUAAAUGUCCAAAGGUCCAUCCAAAAAACCUUUUUGUCUCAUUAAAUCUGUAUUCGUCUGAGUUUUUGUCCUGUCAUUAUCAUAAAAAAGACAGGGUGUCCAUUCUGUUUCACCAGGUAGAGCUCAAAUCAUGCUUAAUCCCUAAAACUGUUGAGAAAGUUGGAUCUCUUUAAGCAUUCAUAUUUUCUUCUGUCAGGCAGGAAACCCUCAGAGAAUAGAUCUUUCAUUCAUUGCAUAAUUGGGAAACGUGCAAACAGCUGCAUGCCGAGUUGUGGAAUGCAGGAAGCCGAGGUUGUUGACAUUGAGCGUACAGCUUGGCAUAAAUUGCAGUUGGCUGCGACGAGGAUGGGAUUCGAACCCACGCGUGCAGAGCACAAUGGAUUAGCAGUCCAUCGCCUUAACCACUCGGCCACCUCGUCACCACACCUGUUAAUCAUUGACAUACGCAUCAGUAGGUGAAAGGUGACAGACUGCAAUUGUAUUGUUUUAAAGCUGCUAUGAGGAAUUUUAAGUAUAUGAGUCUAGCGCCCCCUGUGGCCAGGCUGUAUCCUGCAACAAAAAAUCAUUCUGCUUUCUUAUGAUAAUUGGACAUGUCACCCAUGGAGAAUCUUUAUAGAGGACAAUUUAAACCCAUUUUAGUUUCUGCAGCGUGUUGUUAAAGGUUUUGUUUGACUCCUUCCUCCCCGCUGCAGUUUCAGGUACUAAAGCUACUUUAAAGCUGCUGUGAGUAACUUUCAGUUUCAGCUUCAGAACUUUGCUGUUCUUGCCUUUUACACGCAAAAGUCGUGUCAUCUAAUAAAAACUCAUUCUGUUGAUUUUGACAGGCUAAAGUGUCAUUUGUAAUAGAUUUUUUUAAUGAUAUGUUCUGUUGAUUUAGUUUUCCCCUGAUUUUGGUCAUUUCAGUGAAUUUUCUUUGUGAUUUUUCCGAGUGUUUCUGUUCCCUGUAGUCCUAUCUUUUGAGUUUUCAGUUUGUGUCAGACCCCUGUUCCCUCAUGUUCUCUUUGUUUUAUUCUUUAUAUCAGUUUUCAGUGUUUCCUGUUUUAUUUUGUAGUACUUUAUUCCCUGUGUUUGAAGUCUUGUUUUACUUCCUCAGUUUUCCCUCCUCUG
Molecule: non-coding RNA, 4071 nt
Organism: Xyrichtys novacula (pearly razorfish)
Lineage: Eukaryota; Metazoa; Chordata; Actinopteri; Labriformes; Labridae
Source: the annotation of a GenBank genome assembly